GCUCGUGUAGCUCAGUUGGUUAGAGCGUCGUACUAAUAAUGCGAAGGUCGUAGGUUCAAUCCCUGCCAUGAGCA
This 74-nucleotide transfer RNA is filed under the name Beauveria bassiana. RNAcentral describes it as "tRNA-Leu". It matches the Rfam family "tRNA". Rfam says of the family: Transfer RNA (tRNA) molecules are approximately 80 nucleotides in length. Lineage: Eukaryota; Fungi; Ascomycota; Sordariomycetes; Hypocreales; Cordycipitaceae. The record is from RNAcentral. RNAcentral also lists the same sequence under 2 other names.